RNAcentral lists this ribosomal RNA (705 nucleotides) under Salmonella enterica. RNAcentral's name for it is "partial 23S ribosomal RNA". It matches the Rfam family "Bacterial large subunit ribosomal RNA", at positions 2226 to 2925 of the family's 2925-position model. The record is from RNAcentral. Lineage: Bacteria; Pseudomonadati; Pseudomonadota; Gammaproteobacteria; Enterobacterales; Enterobacteriaceae. RNAcentral also lists the same sequence under 4 other names.
CGUGGACCCGUAAUCCGGGUUGCGGACAGUGUCUGGUGGGUAGUUUGACUGGGGCGGUCUCCUCCUAAAGAGUAACGGAGGAGCACGAAGGUUGGCUAAUCCUGGUCGGACAUCAGGAGGUUAGUGCAAUGGCAUAAGCCAGCUUGACUGCGAGCGUGACGGCGCGAGCAGGUGCGAAAGCAGGUCAUAGUGAUCCGGUGGUUCUGAAUGGAAGGGCCAUCGCUCAACGGAUAAAAGGUACUCCGGGGAUAACAGGCUGAUACCGCCCAAGAGUUCAUAUCGACGGCGGUGUUUGGCACCUCGAUGUCGGCUCAUCACAUCCUGGGGCUGAAGUAGGUCCCAAGGGUAUGGCUGUUCGCCAUUUAAAGUGGUACGCGAGCUGGGUUUAGAACGUCGUGAGACAGUUCGGUCCCUAUCUGCCGUGGGCGCUGGAGAACUGAGGGGGGCUGCUCCUAGUACGAGAGGACCGGAGUGGACGCAUCACUGGUGUUCGGGUUGUCAUGCCAAUGGCACUGCCCGGUAGCUAAAUGCGGAAGAGAUAAGUGCUGAAAGCAUCUAAGCACGAAACUUGCCCCGAGAUGAGUUCUCCCUGAGACUUAGAGUCUCCUGAAGGAACGUUGAAGACGACGACGUUGAUAGGCCGGGUGUGUAAGCGCAGCGAUGCGUUGAGCUAACCGGUACUAAUGAACCGUGAGGCUUAACCUU